CUUUUGGUUGUAAAGCACUUUAAGCGAGGAGGAGGCUACCGAGAUUAAUACUCUUGGAUAGUGGACGUUACUCGCAGAAUAAGCACCGGCUAACUCUGUGCCAGCAGCCGCGGUAAUACAGAGGGUGCGAGCGUUAAUCGGAUUUACUGGGCGUAAAGCGUGCGUAGGCGGCUUUUUAAGUCGGAUGUGAAAUCCCUGAGCUUAACUUAGGAAUUGCAUUCGAUACUGGGAAGCUAGAGUAUGGGAGAGGAUGGUAGAAUUCCAGGUGUAGCGGUGAAAUGCGUAGAGAUCUGGAGGAAUACCGAUGGCGAAGGCAGCCAUCUGGCCUAAUACUGACGCUGAGGUACGAAAGCAUGGGGAGCAAACAGGAUUAGAUACCCUGGUAGUCCAUGCCGUAAACGAUGUCUACUAGCCGUUGGGGCCUUUGAGGCUUUAGUGGCGCAGCUAACGCGAUAAGUAGACCGCCUGGGGAGUACGGUCGCAAGACUAAAACUCAAAUGAAUUGACGGGGGCCCGCACAAGCGGUGGAGCAUGUGGUUUAAUUCGAUGCAACGCGAAGAACCUUACCUGGUCUUGACAUAGUAAGAACUUUCCAGAGAUGGAUUGGUGCCUUCGGGAACUUACAUACAGGUGCUGCAUGGCUGUCGUCAGCUCGUGUCGUGAGAUGUUGGGUUAAGUCCCGCAACGAGCGCAACCCUUUUCCUUAUUUGCCAGCGGGUUAAGCCGGGAACUUUAAGGAUACUGCCAGUGACAAACUGGAGGAAGGCGGGGACGACGUCAAGUCAUCAUGGCCCUUACGACCAGGGCUACACACGUGCUACAAUGGUCGGUACAAAGGGUUGCUACCUAGCGAUAGGAUGCUAAUCUCAAAAAGCCGAUCGUAGUCCGGAUUGGAGUCUGCAACUCGACUCCAUGAAGUCGGAAUCGCUAGUAAUCGCGGAUCAGAAUGCCGCGGUGAAUACGUUCCCGGGCCUUGUACACACCGCCCGUCACACCAUGGGAAUUUGUUGCACCAGAAGUAGGUAGUCUAACCGCAAGGAGGACGCUACCACGUGCCCAUG
This 1061-nucleotide ribosomal RNA is filed under the name Acinetobacter sp. RNAcentral describes it as "bacterial SSU rRNA". It matches the Rfam family "Bacterial small subunit ribosomal RNA", at positions 416 to 1469 of the family's 1533-position model. Lineage: Bacteria; Pseudomonadati; Pseudomonadota; Gammaproteobacteria; Moraxellales; Moraxellaceae. The record is from RNAcentral.